RNAcentral lists this long non-coding RNA (948 nucleotides) under Fukomys damarensis (Damara mole-rat). RNAcentral describes it as "lncRNA (ENSFDAG00000024504.1)". The record is from RNAcentral. Lineage: Eukaryota; Metazoa; Chordata; Mammalia; Rodentia; Bathyergidae.
GGCUGAUGUUUGGCAGGGGUCCUGUUUCCUUUAGCUCCAGGCUAGAAAUUAUGGAGUUUAUGCAAAGUCCUGGUUUGCUUUGUGUGAAACUAAAUGAUGAAGUGAGCACUGGAAACUUGGGAAGAUAUGUGGCUUGUAGAAGACUGUGUUACCACCGGUAUGUCCCCAAAGCAGUAAUGAGUCGAUUCCACUCACAAAUUGAAUUGCAUAUUAUAUUUGACCAAUUUCAACCAACUAUCCAUGGAGAGAAGAGCAGAGACUGUCCUAGGCCAGAAGACAGUGAGAGUCUAAGUCAGUGGUGGUGAACUUGUGGCAUGCGUGCUGCACUUUGUGUCACUGCAGAAGGCUCUCCCUAACUGAUCCGUAAUUUACAUGGAAAGCACUUUGAAAAACAAUCUACAAGGAAUGAGCUUCUCAGAUGACUCUCCUGUCUCCCUGUGAAAAAUGCAAUCAUCCAUAGCUGAAGCACUUCUGUCUACAAAUCAGUCAUUAAAGCGGAAGGUCUUAAGCCAAGGGCAAGCACUUAAAAGAAAAAAAACAGCCCUAUAAGUUAUCAUUACUUUUGAUUAAUGUGAUCUGUGCACAUGGAAAAUAAAUCUGUGGGCAUAUUUAGGUAGCUAGUGACUGAGACUUGAUUAUGGUUGUCUUUCUUACAUAAAAUCAUGAGAGGCAUGCAUUGGAGGCAUUAGCAAGCCUGGGUUAUAUCAGAAGAUCUCCAGUAACGUGAAACUUCUGCAGACAUCAUCAAUCCUUCACAGCCUUUUAAACAUGACAACGAGUUACCUUAAGUUUUCUUCUGCUGUUGCAUUUUCCAGUGUUCAAAUAAUAAAGAGGCAUCAGAAAUGGAGCCAACUUCCAGACUUUUUAUCAGUGGUUCCAAGGGCCACCCCCUGCCCUUUAAAGUUUAACUACUAUGAGAUAUUGCAAAAAAAAAAAAAAAAAAAAAGC